CAGAGUUGCAAAACUCCCACAAACCAUCGCGAAUCUUACCCGUACGGUUGCCUCGGCGCUGGCGGUCCGGAAGGCCCUCGGGCCCCCCGGAUCCUCGGGUCUCCCGCUCGCGGGAGGCUGCCCGCCGGAGUGCCGAAACCAAACUCUUGAUAUUUUAUGUCUCUCUGAGUAAACUUUUAAAUAAGUCC
This 188-nucleotide unclassified non-coding RNA is filed under the name soil metagenome. Its description in RNAcentral is "partial internal transcribed spacer 1". The record is from RNAcentral.